This 309-nucleotide ribosomal RNA is filed under the name uncultured fungus. RNAcentral's name for it is "eukaryotic LSU rRNA". The stretch from base 1 to 52 matches the Rfam family "5.8S ribosomal RNA", at positions 103 to 154 of the family's 154-position model. The record is from RNAcentral. Lineage: Eukaryota; Fungi.
AACGCACCUUGCGCUCCUUGGUAUUCCGAGGAGCAUGCCUGUUUGAGUGUCAUGGUAUUCUCAACCCUCCUGUGAUUUCUUUUUAAAGAUUGCAGCUGGGCUUGGACUUGGAGGUUUAUUGCUGGCAUCCUUUGUUGGAUGUGGGCUCCUCUGAAAAGCAUUAGCUGGAAUAUUGCCGAGCAUGAUUCAAUGUGAUAAUUGUCUACGUUGCUUCAACUUGGUGUUAAUUCUGUUCUAGCUUCUAAACGUCCUCUGGACAAUAUCUGAACAUCUGACCUCAAAUCAGGUAGGACUACCCGCUGAACUUAA